Molecule: transfer RNA, 21 nt
Filed under: Henrardia persica
Lineage: Eukaryota; Viridiplantae; Streptophyta; Magnoliopsida; Poales; Poaceae
Description: partial tRNA-Arg
Source: RNAcentral
GUUCAAAUCCUAUUGGACGCA